Molecule: ribosomal RNA, 484 nt
Filed under: uncultured bacterium
Lineage: Bacteria
Description: partial 16S ribosomal RNA
Rfam family: Bacterial small subunit ribosomal RNA
Source: RNAcentral
GACGAACGCUGGCGGCGUGCUUAACACAUGCAAGUCGAACGAUGAAGCUAGAGCUUGCUCUGGUGGAUUAGUGGCGAACGGGUGAGUAACACGUGAGUAACCUGCCCUUGACUCUGGGAUAACUGCUAGAAAUGGUAGCUAAUACCGGAUACGACCCUCGGAGGCAUCUCCAGGGGGUGGAAAGAAUUUCGGUCAAGGAUGGACUCGCAGCCUAUCGGCUAGUUGGUGAGGUAACGGCUCACCAAGGCGACGACGGGUAGCCGGCCUGAGAGGGUGACCGGCCACACUGGGACUGAGACACGGCCCAGACUCCUACGGGAGGCAGCAGUGGGGAAUAUUGCACAAUGGGCGCAAGCCUGAUGCAGCAACGCCGCGUGAGGGAUGACGGCCUUCGGGUUGUAAACCUCUUUUAGUAGGGAAGAAGCGAAAGUGACGGUACCUGCAGAAAAAGCACCGGCUAACUACGUGCCAGCAGCCGCAGUAA